RNAcentral lists this ribosomal RNA (466 nucleotides) under uncultured bacterium. Its description in RNAcentral is "partial 16S ribosomal RNA". It matches the Rfam family "Bacterial small subunit ribosomal RNA", at positions 28 to 523 of the family's 1533-position model. The record is from RNAcentral.
GAUGAACGCUGGCGGCGUGCCUAACACAUGCAAGUCGAGCGAUCUCUUCGGAGAGAGCGGCGGACGGGUGAGUAACGCGUGGGUAACCUGCCCUGUACACACGGAUAACAUACCGAAAGGUAUGCUAAUACGGGAUAAUAUAUAAAAGUCGCAUGGCUUUUAUAUCAAAGCUUUUGCGGUACAGGAUGGACCCGCGUAUGAUUAGCUAGUUGGUAAGGUAACGGCUUACCAAGGCGACGAACAGUAGCCGACCUGAGAGGGGGAUCGGCCACACUGGAACUGACACACGGUACAGACUCUUACGGGGGGCAACAGUGGGGAAUAUUGCACAAUGGGCGAAAGCCUGAUGCAGCAACGCCGCGUGAGCGAUGAAGGCCUUAGGGUCGUAAAGCUCUGUCCUCAAGGAAGAUAAUGACGGUACUUGAGGAGGAAGCCCCGGCUAACUACGUGCCAGCCGCCGCCGUAA